GUCCCUGUCGAUUAGUGGUUAGAUCAUCACAUUGUGGCUGUGAAGACGCAGGCUCGACUCCUGCCCGGGACA
Molecule: transfer RNA, 72 nt
Filed under: Ganoderma lucidum G.260125-1
Lineage: Eukaryota; Fungi; Basidiomycota; Agaricomycetes; Polyporales; Polyporaceae
Description: tRNA-His (GTG) (tRNA-His-GTG-5-1)
Rfam family: tRNA
About the family: Transfer RNA (tRNA) molecules are approximately 80 nucleotides in length.
Source: RNAcentral